UACGUAGGGGCGAGCGUUGUCCGGAAUUAUUGGGCGUAAAGGGUACGCAGGCGGUUCUUUAAGUCUGAUGUGAAAUCUCACAGCUUAACUGUGAGCGGUCAUUGGAAACUGAGGAACUUGAGUAUAGAAGAGGAAAGUGGAAUUCCAUGUGUAGCGGUGAAAUGCGUAGAUAUAUGGAGGAACACCAGUGGCGAAGGCGACUUUCUGGUCUAUUAUUGACGCUGAGGCUCGAAAGCAUGGGUAGCAAACAGGAUUAGAUACCCG
Molecule: ribosomal RNA, 264 nt
Filed under: uncultured prokaryote
Description: partial 16S ribosomal RNA
Rfam family: Bacterial small subunit ribosomal RNA
Source: RNAcentral